UCGCCGUUCGCCGGCUGGUGGGCGUAUGAGGUCUUCGGUACCUGGCAUGCGGCGUUCUACUCGUCCGCGGCGGU
Molecule: transfer RNA, 74 nt
Filed under: compost metagenome
Description: tRNA-Arg
Source: RNAcentral